CCUACGGGGGGCAGCAGUGAGGAAUAUUGGUCAAUGGACGAGAGUCUGAACCAGCCAAGUAGCGUGAAGGAUGACUGCCCUAUGGGUUGUAAACUUCUUUUAUAAAGGAAUAAAACGAGGCACGUGUGCCUUUUUGUAUGUACUUUAUGAAUAAGGAUCGGCUAACUCCGUGCCAGCAGCCGCGGUAAUACGGAGGAUCCGAGCGUUAUCCGGGUUUAUUGGGUUUAAAGGGAGCGUAGAUGGGUUGUUAAGUCAGUUGUGAAAGUUUGCGGCUCAACCGUAAAAUGGCAAUUGAUACUGGCAGUCUUGAGUACAGUUGAGGUAGGCGGAAUUCGUGGUGUAGCGGUGAAAUGCUUAGAUAUCACGAAGAACCCCGAUUGCGAAGGCAGCUUACUAAACUGUGACUGACAUUGAUGCACGAAAGUGUGGGUAUCAAACAGGAUUAGAUACCCUUGUAGUC
Molecule: ribosomal RNA, 460 nt
Filed under: uncultured bacterium
Lineage: Bacteria
Description: partial 16S ribosomal RNA
Rfam family: Bacterial small subunit ribosomal RNA
Source: RNAcentral